AAGAGAAUUUUGAAAGUUACAUGCAAAUUACACUGUACUCCCUCCGUUCCAAAAAGAGCCAACCUUCCCCUCCUAGUAUAACGAAUCUGGUUCCUCUAGGUUGGUUUUUUUGGACGCUCGGAAGUAUAUGCAAGUUACAAUGUAUGUAAUUAUAUUUGCUAAAUUUUAGGAGAAAAUUUAUCAACAGAUGUAUAUCAAAAUUGAAAUAUCAGGGUGAGGCUAUAGCCGAGGGAGGCAAAAUGGACCUACACAGAUUUGGUGGAUCCGUGUGAGAAAAAUGGUCGACGGUCCAGUUCACUGUUUCCAUCCCCGGAUAGGGUCCCACGCGGCGCGGCCACACCACGGCGGCCGUCGGGUCCCACACGGCCGGCGCGAUCGCUCGCCGCGGCUCGUGGGGACGGGCCGUCAAUGGCGCCUGCAUUCGCGCCUCCAACCCCCCCCCCCCACCCCAACCCACGCGCGUGCCAACGAUCCUCUGCCUCCUCGCCGCCGGCUUCCACCGGUGGCUCCGCGUGGAGCCCGCCACCACGGGCGGGGCCGCUCUGCUCUCCGACCGGCGCCGUCGCCAGCAGCCAUGCUUCUCGAGGAACGUGGAAUAGCUCAUACUUGCUCAAGAAUCUUCGGUCUGGUUGAUUCAUGUCAGUUGUCACUUGUGAUUCGCCAUCAAAUUAUGGAGAACCUGGACAAGAUUUUGAACCUGGCAAAUAGUGAACUGACUCGGUGAAGACGCCACAGCCUGAGCAAAUUGAGUACCUUGAAAGCAAUGUCAUUCCCCUUGU
Long non-coding RNA from Oryza sativa Japonica Group (Japanese rice), 779 nucleotides. RefSeq lists it as uncharacterized. The record is from RefSeq and is a predicted model, not a curated record. Lineage: Eukaryota; Viridiplantae; Streptophyta; Magnoliopsida; Poales; Poaceae.